Small nucleolar RNA from Artibeus jamaicensis (Jamaican fruit-eating bat), 137 nucleotides. RefSeq annotates it as small nucleolar RNA SNORA8. The record is from RefSeq and is a predicted model, not a curated record. NCBI's taxonomy places the organism in Eukaryota, Metazoa, Chordata, Mammalia, Chiroptera, Phyllostomidae. The transcript has a single exon.
UAUGUUGAAAACAAAACUCCUCCCGAGCUUAUUUCUGCAGGGUGUUCAGAGGACAGUACAAUAUAAGCUUAGUAUCUGGCAUGGUUGGUUGUCUGGGUUUUGUGUGUGUUAAACCUGGUCUUUUUAUGGACACGGUA